AGGACUAACGCUGGCGGCGUGCCUAACACAUGCAAGUCGAACGAGGUAGCAAUACCUAGUGGCAGACGGGUGAGUAACACGUGGUCAACCUGCCUCCGUGUGGGGGAUAACUAGCCGAAAGGUUAGCUAAUACCGCAUACGAUCGCUUAAAGGCAUCUUUGAGCGAUGAAAGGAGUAAUCCGCACGGAGAGGGGACUGCGUCCCAUUAGUUAGUUGGUGGGGUAACGGCCUACCAAGACUCCGAUGGGUAGCUGGCUUGAGAGAGCGACCAGCCACACUGGAACUGAGACACGGUCCAGACUCCUACGGGAGGCAGCAGUGAGGAAUUUUCCGCAAUGGGCGCAAGCCUGACGGAGCGACGCCGCGUGUGGGAAGAAGGCCUUCGGGUCGUAAACCACUGUCGAAGGGGACGAUAUUGACGGUACCCUUGGAGGAAGCCCCGGCUAGCUACGUGCCAGCAGCCGC
Molecule: ribosomal RNA, 465 nt
Filed under: uncultured bacterium
Lineage: Bacteria
Description: SSU rRNA
Rfam family: Bacterial small subunit ribosomal RNA
Source: RNAcentral